Molecule: transfer RNA, 78 nt
Filed under: Methyloprofundus sp.
Lineage: Bacteria; Pseudomonadati; Pseudomonadota; Gammaproteobacteria; Methylococcales; Methylococcaceae
Description: tRNA-Val
Rfam family: tRNA
About the family: Transfer RNA (tRNA) molecules are approximately 80 nucleotides in length. Their secondary structure includes four short double-helical elements and three loops (D, anti-codon, and T loops).
Source: RNAcentral
AGGCGUGUAGCUCAGUCUGGUUAGAGCGCUACUAUUACAUGGUAGAGGUCAGUAGUUCAAAUCUAUUCGCGCCUACCA